AAACAUUGCUAUAGUAAUUCUUUUUUAAAUUAAGGGUACACAUGAGGGCAAGCAAUAAAUGAUAGUAUUUUCAGUAAUCAUGCUCAAACUCUUCAAUUUUACCUUGGAUAAUGUUUUCCAUUAUUUAUUAUGGUAACUACAAAGCCAUCUCAAUGUCUCCAUAUGCACUGCCCAGGCUUUUGGGCCCUGGAGAGGUCACUCCAGCUUCACUUUAUCUUUCAAACAAAGAUUACAUUCAGCAAGCUGAUGUCUCACUUGGCACACUGCUAUUGUCUCACAAGCCAGAAAGACACCUCCUAUUGCUAUUAAUACAAAGCCUAAGAGAUUUUUAUGUGUGUAAGGUCUAAAAACUUCAUAGCACUCCCAAAAGCACUACUGAGAACUUGUCCCAUCCACCUGCUCCAUGCACACCAAUCCAAGAAAUGAGAUAGUGAAACCACCCUAAGCAAGCUGCCCGCUCCAGCUUUCAAGUAUGCAGAAGGCUCAUUUUGAAAGCAAGUACAAUCCUAUUGAUACUCUAUAACUUUAGAAUGGACAGAUGCAGAACUUGGUGAUAUUAUAAACACAUUAAAAGAGAGCAUUACAAUAGCAAAAUCAAGCUCUCAAAUAUCAAAGUUUAGAUUGUCGUCAGAGUUAAGGUUGUCUGUGCAACCUGGCUUGUUCCCUCUGGAGUUAAUGUGUCAUUUGAAAAGGUUAGAGGUCAAAAUGAGUUACAAGAAGGGAUAUAAAAGGUGGCUUCUGGGGUAGGGGCAUGCUCAGUGGGAACUGAUGCCUGGUAUAUGUUCUUCAGCUGUGCUUCUGGAGCCCCACAGAAGCAGUGUAGAUAGAUGUAUCCAAAGCAAGCUGACAACUUCUAAACUGUACAAAAAUAGACUGUAUAAAUUGACUUUCACUGGUGAAGAUCAGAAUGACUAACAAACACAAGCCUUUAUACACAGUGGGUGUGUGUCUGGGGGAGGACUCACACAAGGAAGCAAACAAGUGGUGCUCUUUUAAGAUUCCUGUGGCAGAGAGCCAGUGUUUUAAUCUCACUUCCAUUCACAGGUUGAUGAUUGACUGACCUUGAGAUCAAAUGCCUGUUUCUAUAUUCAGCCACGGUAAAGACCUUCUUAGAUAC
Long non-coding RNA from Gavialis gangeticus (Gharial), 1117 nucleotides. RefSeq lists it as uncharacterized. The record is from RefSeq and is a predicted model, not a curated record. The transcript is spliced from 2 exons. NCBI's taxonomy places the organism in Eukaryota, Metazoa, Chordata, Crocodylia, Gavialidae.